Brachypodium distachyon (stiff brome) is the source of this 1086-nucleotide long non-coding RNA. RefSeq lists it as uncharacterized. The record is from RefSeq and is a predicted model, not a curated record. The transcript has 2 exons. NCBI's taxonomy places the organism in Eukaryota, Viridiplantae, Streptophyta, Magnoliopsida, Poales, Poaceae.
CUUCCACUUCACUUACAAUAAUCCUUGCCAGGGACCGAAUUCACCGGCAGGAACAACAUAGGAAACCAACACAAAAGUGCGGUUGUUCUUCAGACGGCAAACUACCUCCGUAUUUGAUCCCUACUAUGGAGAAAUCCACCGGAUGGAGGACCUCGCGGCUGCCUUCACGUUACCACGCGGGCCAGUUGCUCGCGACCGGUCUCUCUCGUCUCGCCAUGCACGAUUGUUUGCGUAUAUGUUUCCUGAGAGCAAAAGAGACGUUACAAGUGAUUAAUGAUCUAGUAGCUAGCUCAGAGAAAAUUAUUGGGCUGUUAGGCUGAUUAAUCAUAUGCAUGGAGGAUAGAUUGGGUUGCAUGUUACCAUUGGAUGAUAAAUAUAUAAGAAGCGGUAAAAGGAUUGUUAGUAACUGCGUGUGUGACACAUAACUCCUUAUAUAUAUUGGACUGUUAGUAGCUUCCACAUCCCAAUGUGGAAAACCAAACUUUGCACAUGAGCCUUGCAGUUAUUAUGGACCUGGGAGAUUUUAUAGAUCUAAAAUUAUUAUUUGCCCAUAAUUCUUUGAGAAAAGGUAUUUGUUUCGUCCCUCAACUUGUUGUGGAGUUCUCUUUUGGCCCCUUAAGAAAUUUUCGUGCCUUUUAUGUCUCUCAUCUUCUCAAUCAGACACAUUUGGCCUGGCCUGGGGCCUAACCGAAGCGGUUUUCUCAAUGACAUGUCUUGGUUUCUGACCCAAAGCGUCAACGUGGCAAACUACGGAGAUGCUGCCCACCAAUUGCGCGCUCGGCAAAAUUUCCAGUAUGAGGAGAGAAAGAAGAAGGCGAAGUGGAUGCCACUAGGACAGCCACAAGGACGCUUUGUCAAAAAUCAGGAGACGUUAUCGGGAAACUGCUUCGAGUCGGCUUCGGGACCAAAUGUGUCUUGUUUGAGAAGAUGAGGGACGAAAAAAGUACGGAAUUUUUUGAAGGGGUCAAAAACAAACUGUGCAGAGAAGUUGAGGGACGAAAAAAUAUUUUUCUUUAAUUCUUAACAGUUUCAUGAACAACAGAUUGUAUAUGUAGAUGUAAACUUUACUAAACAAGAGUUUCUUCA